UUAAUUUGAGAGUUUGAUCCUGGCUCAGGACGAACGCUGGCGGCGUGCCUAAUACAUGCAAGUCGAACGAACUCUGGUAUUGAUUGGUGCUUGCAUCAUGAUUUACAUUUGAGUGAGUGGCGAACUGGUGAGUAACACGUGGGAAACCUGCCCAGAAGCGGGGGAUAACACCUGGAAACAGAUGCUAAUACCGCAUAACAACUUGGACCGCAUGGUCCGAGCUUGAAAGAUGGCUUCGGCUAUCACUUUUGGAUGGUCCCGCGGCGUAUUAGCUAGAUGGUGGGGUAACGGCUCACCAUGGCAAUGAUACGUAGCCGACCUGAGAGGGUAAUCGGCCACAUUGGGACUGAGACACGGCCCAAACUCCUACGGGAGGCAGCAGUAGGGAAUCUUCCACAAUGGACGAAAGUCUGAUGGAGCAACGCCGCGUGAGUGAAGAAGGGUUUCGGCUCGUAAAACUCUGUUGUUAAAGAAGAACAUAUCUGAGAGUAACUGUUCAGGUAUUGACGGUAUUUAACCAGAAAGCCACGGCUAACUACGUGCCAGCAGCCGCGGUAAUACGUAGGUGGCAAGCGUUGUCCGGAUUUAUUGGGCGUAAAGCGAGCGCAGGCGGUUUUUUAAGUCUGAUGUGAAAGCCUUCGGCUCAACCGAAGAAGUGCAUCGGAAACUGGAAAACUUGAGUGCAGAAGAGGACAGUGGAACUCCAUGUGUAGCGGUGAAAUGCGUAGAUAUAUGGAAGAACACCAGUGGCGAAGGCGGCUGUCUGGUCUGUAACUGACGCUGAGGCUCGAAAGUAUGGGUAGCAAACAGGAUUAGAUACCCUGGUAGUCCAUACCGUAAACGAUGAAUGCUAAGUGUUGGAGGGUUUCCGCCCUUCAGUGCUGCAGCUAACGCAUUAAGCAUUCCGCCUGGGGAGUACGGCCGCAAGGCUGAAACUCAAAGGAAUUGACGGGGGCCCGCACAAGCGGUGGAGCAUGUGGUUUAAUUCGAAGCUACGCGAAGAACCUUACCAGGUCUUGACAUACUAUGCAAAUCUAAGAGAUUAGACGUUCCCUUCGGGGACAUGGAUACAGGUGGUGCAUGGUUGUCGUCAGCUCGUGUCGUGAGAUGUUGGGUUAAGUCCCGCAACGAGCGCAACCCUUAUUAUCAGUUGCCAGCAUUAAGUUGGGCACUCUGGUGAGACUGCCGGUGACAAACCGGAGGAAGGUGGGGAUGACGUCAAAUCAUCAUGCCCCUUAUGACCUGGGCUACACACGUGCUACAAUGGAUGGUACAACGAGUUGCGAACUCGCGAGAGUAAGCUAAUCUCUUAAAGCCAUUCUCAGUUCGGAUUGUAGGCUGCAACUCGCCUACAUGAAGUCGGAAUCGCUAGUAAUCGCGGAUCAGCAUGCCGCGGUGAAUACGUUCCCGGGCCUUGUACACACCGCCCGUCACACCAUGAGAGUUUGUAACACCCAAAGUCGGUGGGGUAACCUUUUAGGAACCAGCCGCCUAAGGUGGGACAGAUGAUUAGGGUGAAGUCGUAACAAGGUAGCCGUAGGAGAACCUGCGGCUGGAUCACCUCCUUUCUAAGGAA
This 1576-nucleotide ribosomal RNA is filed under the name Lactiplantibacillus plantarum. RNAcentral's name for it is "16S ribosomal RNA". It matches the Rfam family "Bacterial small subunit ribosomal RNA". Lineage: Bacteria; Bacillati; Bacillota; Bacilli; Lactobacillales; Lactobacillaceae. The record is from RNAcentral.